RNAcentral lists this ribosomal RNA (577 nucleotides) under Trichoderma harzianum. RNAcentral's name for it is "eukaryotic LSU rRNA". The stretch from base 201 to 354 matches the Rfam family "5.8S ribosomal RNA". The record is from RNAcentral. Lineage: Eukaryota; Fungi; Ascomycota; Sordariomycetes; Hypocreales; Hypocreaceae.
CCGAGUUUACAACUCCCAAACCCAAUGUGAACGUUACCAAACUGUUGCCUCGGCGGGAUCUCUGCCCCGGGUGCGUCGCAGCCCCGGACCAAGGCGCCCGCCGGAGGACCAACCAAAACUCUUUUUGUAUACCCCCUCGCGGGUUUUUUAUAAUCUGAGCCUUCUCGGCGCCUCUCGUAGGCGUUUCGAAAAUGAAUCAAAACUUUCAACAACGGAUCUCUUGGUUCUGGCAUCGAUGAAGAACGCAGCGAAAUGCGAUAAGUAAUGUGAAUUGCAGAAUUCAGUGAAUCAUCGAAUCUUUGAACGCACAUUGCGCCCGCCAGUAUUCUGGCGGGCAUGCCUGUCCGAGCGUCAUUUCAACCCUCGAACCCCUCCGGGGGGUCGGCGUUGGGGAUCGGCCCUGCCUCUUGGCGGUGGCCGUCUCCGAAAUACAGUGGCGGUCUCGCCGCAGCCUCUCCUGCGCAGUAGUUUGCACACUCGCAUCGGGAGCGCGGCGCGUCCACAGCCGUUAAACACCCAACUUCUGAAAUGUUGACCUCGGAUCAGGUAGGAAUACCCGCUGAACUUAAGCAUAUAA